Molecule: ribosomal RNA, 506 nt
Filed under: uncultured bacterium
Lineage: Bacteria
Description: bacterial SSU rRNA
Rfam family: Bacterial small subunit ribosomal RNA
Source: RNAcentral
GAUGAACGCUAGCGGCAGGCUUAACACAUGCAAGUCGAGCGAGAAAAGGGCUUCGGCCCUGAGUACAGCGGCGGACGGGUGAAUAACACGUAGGUAACCUUCCUUUCAGCGGGGGACAACGGUCCGAAGGACCGCUAAUACCGCAUACGUUCUCUGGGGCUUCGGCCUUGGAGAGGAAAGGCCCGCAAGGGCCACUGGAUGAGGGGCCUGCGUAGCAUCAGCUAGUUGGUGGGGUAAUGGCCUACCAAGGCGAAGACGCUUAGCUGGUCUGAGAGGAUGAUCAGCCACACUGGGACUGAGACACGGCCCAGACUCCUACGGGAGGCAGCAGUGGGGAAUAUUGGACAAUGGGCGAAAGCCUGAUCCAGCCACGCCGCGUGAGUGAUGAAGGCCUUCGGGUCGUAAAGCUCUGUGGGGAGGGACGAACGGCGCCCGUGAAGAACGGCGGAUUGACGGUACCUCCUUAGCAAGCACCGGCUAACUUCGUGCCAGCAGCCACCGGUAAU